RNAcentral lists this transfer RNA (61 nucleotides) under Urocitellus parryii (Arctic ground squirrel). RNAcentral's name for it is "Spermophilus parryii (Arctic ground squirrel) tRNA". It matches the Rfam family "tRNA", at positions 6 to 65 of the family's 71-position model. Rfam says of the family: Transfer RNA (tRNA) molecules are approximately 80 nucleotides in length. Their secondary structure includes four short double-helical elements and three loops (D, anti-codon, and T loops). The record is from Rfam by way of RNAcentral. Lineage: Eukaryota; Metazoa; Chordata; Mammalia; Rodentia; Sciuridae. RNAcentral also lists the same sequence under 2 other names.
UAUAGCUCAGUGAUAGAGCACUUGCCUAGUAUGCAUGAGGCCCUAGGUUCAAUCUCUAGUA